This 410-nucleotide ribosomal RNA is filed under the name uncultured Sphingobacteriales bacterium. RNAcentral describes it as "bacterial SSU rRNA". It matches the Rfam family "Bacterial small subunit ribosomal RNA", at positions 505 to 918 of the family's 1533-position model. Lineage: Bacteria; Pseudomonadati; Bacteroidota; Sphingobacteriia; Sphingobacteriales. The record is from RNAcentral.
GUGCCAGCAGCCGCGGUAAUACGUAGGUGGCAAGCGUUGUCCGGAUUUAUUGGGUUUAAAGGGUGCGUAGGCGGCCUUGUAAGUCAGUGCUGAAAUAUCCCGGCUUAACCGGGAGGGUGGCAUUGAUACUGCAGGGCUUGAGUAAGGUUGAGGUUGGCGGAAUUGACGGUGUAGCGGUGAAAUGCUUAGAUAUCGUCAAGAACACCUAUUGCGAAGGCAGCUAACUAAGCUUUAACUGACGCUGAGGCACGAAAGUGUGGGGAUCAAACAGGAUUAGAUACCCUGGUAGUCCACACUGUAAACGUUGAUGACUCGCUGUGUGCGAUAUACAGUACGCGGCUUACGAAAGCGAUAAGUCAUCCACCUGGGGAGUACGCCGGCAACGGUGAAACUCAAAGGAAUUGACGGGA